AAUUCUCAACCUUGUCAGCAUCUGUCUGAUAAUGGCUUGGAUGUGGGGGUUUUGCUGGCUCUGUCAGCUCCCCUUAAAUGCAUUAGCUGGUGCCCUGUAUUGGUGUGAUAAUUAUCUACGCCAUGGAUUAGCGCCGCUUCUAACCGUCCGUUCAUUCGGACAAUACAAUGACA
This 173-nucleotide unclassified non-coding RNA is filed under the name uncultured Agaricales. Its description in RNAcentral is "sequence contains ITS2". The record is from RNAcentral. Lineage: Eukaryota; Fungi; Basidiomycota; Agaricomycetes; Agaricales.